RNAcentral lists this ribosomal RNA (473 nucleotides) under uncultured bacterium. Its description in RNAcentral is "bacterial SSU rRNA". It matches the Rfam family "Bacterial small subunit ribosomal RNA", at positions 355 to 825 of the family's 1533-position model. The record is from RNAcentral.
UGGGGAAUUGUUCGCAAUGGGCGCAAGCCUGACCCGGCAACGCCGCGUGUGGGAUGAAGGCCCUCGGGUCGUAAACCACUGUCAGGAGGAAAGAAAAGUCGGCCGGAUAAUACUCGGUCGACCUGACGGUACCUCCAAAGGAAGCACCGGCUAACUCCGUGCCAGCAGCCGCGGUAAUACGGAGGGUGCAAGCGUUGUUCGGAAUUACUGGGCGUAAAGCGCGUGUAGGUGGUCGAGUAAGUCGAAUGUGAAAGCCCCGGGCUCAACCCGGGAAGUGCAUCCGAAACUGCUCGACUAGAGUCCCGGAGAGGAAGGCAGAAUUCCCAAUGUAGGGGUGAAAUCCGUAGAUAUUGGGAGGAAUACCGGUGGCGAAGGCGGCCUUCUGGACGGUGACUGACACUCAGACGCGAAAGCGUGGGGAGCAAACAGGAUUAGAUACCCCAGUAGUCCCUGAGCGGGCUGGCAAGGCGCAU